CCCUUCGGGGUACUCGAGCGGCGAACGGGUGAGUAACACGUGAGCAACCUGCCCCAGGCUUUGGGAUAACCCCGGGAAACCGGGGCUAAUACCGAAUAUGACCUUGCACCGCAUGGUGUUUGGUGGAAAGUUUUUCGGCUUGGGAUGGGCUCGCGGCCUAUCAGCUUGUUGGUGGGGUGAUGGCCUACCAAGGCGACGACGGGUAGCCGGCCUGAGAGGGCGACCGGCCACACUGGGACUGAGACACGGCCCAGACUCCUACGGGAGGCAGCAGUGGGGAAUAUUGCACAAUGGGCGGAAGCCUGAUGCAGCGACGCCGCGUGAGGGAUGACGGCCUUCGGGUUGUAAACCUCUUUCAGCAGGGACGAAGCGUAAGUGACGGUACCUGCAGAAGAAGCGCCGGCCAACUACGUGCCAGCAGCCGCGGUAAGACGUAGGGCGCGAGCGUUGUCCGGAUUUAUUGGGCGUAAAGAGCUCGUAGGCGGCUUGUCGCGUCGACUGUGAAAACCCGCAGCUCAACUGCGGGCCUGCAGUCGAUACGGGCAGGCUAGAGUUCGGUAGGGGAGACUGGAAUUCCUGGUGUAGCGGUGAAAUGCGCAGA
This 601-nucleotide ribosomal RNA is filed under the name Micromonospora sp. I07A-01893. RNAcentral's name for it is "bacterial SSU rRNA". It matches the Rfam family "Bacterial small subunit ribosomal RNA", at positions 76 to 694 of the family's 1533-position model. Lineage: Bacteria; Bacillati; Actinomycetota; Actinomycetes; Micromonosporales; Micromonosporaceae. The record is from RNAcentral. RNAcentral also lists the same sequence under 1 other name.